Molecule: ribosomal RNA, 405 nt
Filed under: uncultured bacterium
Lineage: Bacteria
Description: bacterial SSU rRNA
Rfam family: Bacterial small subunit ribosomal RNA
Source: RNAcentral
UGGGGAAUAUUGGGCAAUGGGCGAAAGCCUGACCCAGCAACGCCGCGUGAAGGAAGAAGGUUUUCGGAUUGUAAACUUCUGUUGUGAGGGACGAAGGACGUGACGGUACCUCAUGAGGAAGCCCCGGCUAACUACGUGCCAGCAGCCGCGGUAAUACGUAGGGGGCAAGCGUUGUCCGGAAUUACUGGGCGUAAAGGGAGCGUAGGCGGCUUAUUAAGUCAGAUGUGAAAUCCCCGGGCUUAACCUGGGAGGUGCAUCUGAAACUGGUGAGCUUGAGUGCGGGAGAGGCGAGUGGAAUUCCUAGUGUAGCGGUGGAAUGCGUAGAUAUUAGGAGGAACACCGGUGGCGAAGGCGGCUUGCUGGACCGUAACUGACGCUGAGGCUCGAAAGCGUGGGGAGCAAACA